AAAGCUUAAAGUCAUCAUUCUCCCAAGUUUUUGCCAGAAGAAAAAGAUAUUCGUAUGACACAUCCAGAAGGAAAGCAAAACUAGAGCUAAGCAACAAGAAAUUAAUCCACACAGAGGUACUGAUCGUCCUAAUUGGCCUUGACCAACUCCUAUUGUGCAGCUUUAAUUUCUCGGCUUCAGCAACCAUGGCACAUGAAAUAUCUACCUGUGCGUAACGGCUAAGCUUAACUGUCAAGAUAAUGGGGAAGAAUGUGCAACUAAGCUUAUAUGUCUCAACGGUUGCUUUUACAUUCUUCUUAUUAGUAGCUGAUUGUCGUCCUCACA
Non-coding RNA from Nicotiana tabacum (common tobacco), 324 nucleotides. The record is from RefSeq and is a predicted model, not a curated record. NCBI's taxonomy places the organism in Eukaryota, Viridiplantae, Streptophyta, Magnoliopsida, Solanales, Solanaceae.